RNAcentral lists this transfer RNA (145 nucleotides) under Verrucomicrobiia bacterium. RNAcentral's name for it is "tRNA-Arg". The record is from RNAcentral. Lineage: Bacteria; Pseudomonadati; Verrucomicrobiota; Verrucomicrobiia.
GCUUUCGUAGCUCAGCGGCAGAGCGGGGGCGUUCGAAGCCCAGGGUCGCAAGUUCGAACGGCCCUCGCCGCAACGCGGUUGAGAAAGUGCCGAAGGGAACCCCCUUAGACUGAGCACAGCGAAGUCAAUCUUGCCGGAAGCACCA